UGGGGAAUUUUGGACAAUGGGGGAAACCCUGAUCCAGCCAUCCCGCGUGUGCGAUGAAGGCCUUCGGGUUGUAAAGCACUUUUGGCAGGAAAGAAACGUCCGGGUUAAUACCCCGCGAAACUGACGGUACCUGCAGAAUAAGCACCGGCUAACUACGUGCCAGCAGCCGCGGUAAUACGUAGGGUGCAAGCGUUAAUCGGAAUUACUGGGCGUAAAGCGUGCGCAGGCGGUUCGGAAAGAAAGAUGUGAAAUCCCAGAGCUUAACUUUGGAACUGCAUUUUUAACUACCGGGCUAGAGUGUGUCAGAGGGAGGUGGAAUUCCGCGUGUAGCAGUGAAAUGCGUAGAUAUGCGGAGGAACACCGAUGGCGAAGGCAGCCUCCUGGGAUAACACUGACGCUCAUGCACGAAAGCGUGGGGAGCAAACAGGAUUAGAUACCCUGGUAGUCCACGCCCUAAACGAUGUCAACUAGCUGUUGGGGCCUUCGGGCCUUGGUAGCGCAGCUAACGCGUGAAGUUGACCGCCUGGGGAGUACGGUCGGCAAGAUUAAAACUCAAAGGAAUUG
RNAcentral lists this ribosomal RNA (564 nucleotides) under uncultured bacterium. Its description in RNAcentral is "partial 16S ribosomal RNA". It matches the Rfam family "Bacterial small subunit ribosomal RNA", at positions 355 to 912 of the family's 1533-position model. The record is from RNAcentral.